UGGGGAAUCUUGCGCAAUGGGCGAAAGCCUGACGCAGCCAUGCCGCGUGGAUGAUGAAGGUCUUAGGAUUGUAAAAUCCUUUCACCGGGGACGAUAAUGACGGUACCCGGAGAAGAAGCCCCGGCUAACUUCGUGCUAGCAGCCGCGGUAAUACGAAGGGGGCUAGCGUUGCUCGGAAUUACUGGGCGUAAAGGGCGCGUAGGCGGACAGUUAAGUUGGGGGUGAAAGCCCGGGGCUCAACCUCGGAAUUGCCUUCAAUACUGGCUGUCUUGAGUACGGGAGAGGUGAGUGGAACUCCGAGUGUAGAGGUGAAAUUCGUAGAUAUUCGGAAGAACACCAGUGGCGAAGGCGACUCACUGGCCCGUUACUGACGCUGAGGCGCGAAAGCGUGGGGAGCAAACA
RNAcentral lists this ribosomal RNA (402 nucleotides) under uncultured bacterium. RNAcentral describes it as "partial 16S ribosomal RNA". It matches the Rfam family "Bacterial small subunit ribosomal RNA", at positions 355 to 774 of the family's 1533-position model. The record is from RNAcentral.